AAUGGGCGCAAGCCUGAUGCAGCCAUGCCGCGUGUAUGAAGAAGGCCUUCGGGUUGUAAAGUACUUUCAGCAGUGAGGAAGGUGGAUAUGUUAAUAGCAUAUUCAUUUGACGUUUAGCUGCAGAAGAAGCACCGGCUAACUCCGUGCCAGCAGCCGCGGUAAUACGGAGGGUGCGAGCGUUAAUCGGAAUUACUGGGCGUAAAGCGCAUGCAGGUGGUUUGUUAAGUCAGAUGUGAAAGCCCGGGGCUCAACCUCGGAAUUGCAUUUGAAAACUGGCAAACUAGAGUACUGUAGAGGGGGUAGAAUUUCAGGUGUAGCGGUGAAAUGCGUAGAGAUCUGAAGGAAUACCGGUGGCGAAGGCGGCCCCCUGGACAGAUACUGACACUCAGAUGCGAAAGCGUGGGGAGCAAACAGGAUUAGAUACCCUGGUAG
This 432-nucleotide ribosomal RNA is filed under the name uncultured bacterium. RNAcentral's name for it is "bacterial SSU rRNA". It matches the Rfam family "Bacterial small subunit ribosomal RNA", at positions 370 to 793 of the family's 1533-position model. The record is from RNAcentral.